This 30-nucleotide non-coding RNA is filed under the name Rattus norvegicus (Norway rat). Lineage: Eukaryota; Metazoa; Chordata; Mammalia; Rodentia; Muridae. The record is from RNAcentral.
UCACCUUUCCUCAGGCUCAACAGUUCAUUU